AGUGAACGCUGGCGGCAUGCCUAACACAUGCAAGUCGCACGGGCAGCCAUGUCGGUGUCGCACGGGUGGGUAGCGCGUAGGGACGUGUCCAGAGGUGGAUGACAACCCCGUGAUACUGGGGCUAAUACCGCAUAUGGGCUGAGCCCCAAACCCAUACGGCGCCCGUGGAGCGGCCUGCGUCCGAUUAGGUUGUUGGCGGGGGAAAGGCCUACCAAGCCGACGAUCGGUAGCUGGUCUGAGAGGACGAUCGGCCACACUGGAAGUGAGACACGGUCCAGACUCCUAAGGGAGGAAGCAGUGGGGAAUAUUGGACAAUGGGCGCAAGCCUGAUCCAGCCAUACCGCGUGGGGGAAGAAGGCCUGCGGGUUGGAAAGCCCUUUUGUUGGGAAAGAAAAGCAGCAGGUUAAUACCCCGCUGUUCUGACGGUACCCAAAGAAUAAGCACCGGCUAACUUCGUG
Molecule: ribosomal RNA, 458 nt
Filed under: uncultured bacterium
Lineage: Bacteria
Description: partial 16S ribosomal RNA
Rfam family: Bacterial small subunit ribosomal RNA
Source: RNAcentral